Schistocerca gregaria is the source of this 536-nucleotide long non-coding RNA. RefSeq lists it as uncharacterized. The transcript has 2 exons. The record is from RefSeq and is a predicted model, not a curated record. Lineage: Eukaryota; Metazoa; Arthropoda; Insecta; Orthoptera; Acrididae.
CGGGUUUUUGCUAUUUAGUCUGGCAUAUUUUCUUAUUUCAGUUAGGAUCUAUGCCAAGAACUUUUCGUCAGAGACUGCUAUGCGCAAGCAAAUGACACCCCCCUUUUCGUGUCAUUCUCCUACCCGAUAAAGGUGUCGUAGACCGGUUAAGAAAAAAAAAUUACCUCGUGCAAUACGCAUCGACAACCUUUUCCCCUCAUAUCUUCGUGACGGGAGGUUACCUGAAGGGUGACAGAGCAAAUGUCUAAUUUGAAUAAUAUGGAUUGCAGCUCGAAAAAAAUGGAAGUUAAUUUUCAAAUAACAAGAACGCAGAUUCUACCCAUGACAGCUUAUGCAACUUGGACGCAUUGAUCUUAUUAAAACUCUGUUGAUAUGGGUUUUGAUUUAAGAGACAUGCACUUUUUUUGUACGAGAAGCGAUGUCUGAGCUGGUGACACGGUUGCGGUUUGUAAAAAAACAUUGUUCGAUCUGUAUAAUAUAAAGCUGAAAUAAAGUCAAAAGGGGCCGUCCAUAAUGACUGUUUUCACACACGCCAA